UCAGCAUCUAGAGGAGACAGCCCAGUUCUGACUUCUUCUUACACCAAAACUAAGGGAUGCAAACAUGACACUUUUAAAUCCAGGAUAUCUUACAGAAACAGGAGCAAAAUAAUGUAAGGUAACGUGAAAUAAAACAACGUACAGAUCAGGAACAACACAUACACAAUCCACAGCCAGAUGCAGCCUACGGAAAAUAGCCUGACUAUGGAGUUAGAGAGAAAUUUGUCUUGUUCUAACUGCUCUGUGUGCUCAUAUGUCAGGACUGAGAAAAACACAUGCUCUGCCCAGCUGUUUGUUAGAAGCAAUGUCUGACUGUGAUGGAGCCUUCCAUUAAGAGUGUUUCUGAAAAUGUAUUACAAUCCCAUUGUUCUCCAUGUAAAAUCAAUACUUAAGCAUUCUUUCUCCCUUCUCUAGAGACAGUUUUUUUUUUCUGUUAAAGAAAAGCACCAGUGGGAAAUUAGUUGAUAGUGAUCUUAUUUUUGUAUGUUUAUUCUUCUCUAUCUGCAGCACAACAGAGAACAUGUAACGGCCAGCUUUGCUUUCCAGUAGCAGCCUGCUGAACCAUAUUUGCCAGACACAUGAGGCCUGGCCUGCAGGCUGAGUCCUGCACCCAGCGGGGCCGGGCAGUGAGCAGUCCAUGGGGUGGGCACUGUGCUGCUGAGGGAAGUGUCUGCACAGCUCUUCCCUUUCAAGUUACGCUUUCUUUGUGGACCCUAUUUCACCUUCACUGAAAGUUCAUCUGCUUGCAGAAAGUGAUCAGACUUCCGAACAUGAAGAUCUGGAGAGAUUUGAGCAGAACACUCAAACUGGCAAUCAGAGAUGUAGAAAUUCUUUCUUCUCAGUAAAAUCCCAUGGACGUUGCCUAAAAUCCUAUAAAACCUAUGAGGUGAGAAAUGAGACUUCUCUGGCUUCUUCUCCCUCUCUUGUAACCACACUGGACUGGAUGUACCAGAUCUGCCUCUGCUGGUUCUCAGGAGGAUCCCAGUUACCCCGACUCAGUCUCUUUUGUGCUAAUCCUGCAUGGUCCCUCUUUUUCUAUUUGACUACCUGACUCCACGUCCUGCGUGGAAAGAGCCUCGCUCUUGAGCACACCAUUCACCCUAUAGAAGAGAGCUGGGUUCAGCUUGCAGGGUUUGAUGCACACGGG
Molecule: long non-coding RNA, 1147 nt
Filed under: Numida meleagris (helmeted guineafowl)
Lineage: Eukaryota; Metazoa; Chordata; Aves; Galliformes; Numididae
Description: lncRNA (ENSNMEG00000020009.1)
Source: RNAcentral